UGCCAGCAGCCGCGGUAACACGGGGGGCGCAAGCGUUAUUCGGAAUUAUUGGGCGUAAAGGGCGCGCAGGCGGGCUGAUCAGUCUGGGGUGAAAGUUCACGGCUUAACCGUGAAAUUGCCUUGGAUACUGUCAGUCUUGAGUUCGGAAGGGGAGAGUGGAAUUCCUGGUGUAGCGGUGAAAUGCGUAGAUAUCAGGAAGAACACCGGUGGCGAAGGCGGCUCUCUGGUCCGAAACUGACGCUGAGGCGCGAAAGUGUGGGUAGCGAACAGGAUUAGAUA
This 279-nucleotide ribosomal RNA is filed under the name uncultured bacterium. RNAcentral's name for it is "partial 16S ribosomal RNA". It matches the Rfam family "Bacterial small subunit ribosomal RNA", at positions 506 to 784 of the family's 1533-position model. The record is from RNAcentral.